GAUGAACGUUGGCGACGUGCCUAACACAUGCAAGUCGAGCGGAGAAGCAGAGAGUGAACUUUUCGGAGGGAACUUUUUUCGGAUCAGCGGCGGACGGGUGAGUAAUACAUGAGGAACCUGCCCUCUACAAGGGGAUAGCCGGGGGAAACCGCGAUUAAUACCCUAUGAGACCACGAUAGCGCAUGCUUUUGUUGUUAAAGCUUUAUCGGUAGAAGAUGGCCUCAUGACCCAUUGGCUAGUUGGUGAUUUAACAGGACACCAAGGCGACGCUGGGUAGCCGGCAACAGAGAGUGAACGGAGACACUGGAACUGGGACACGGUCCAGACUCCUACGGGAGGCAGCAGUGGGGAAUAGUGCACAAUGGGGGGAAUCCUGAAGCAGCGACGUCGGGUGAGCGCAGAAGGCAGUCGGGUAGUAAAGCUCUGUUAUAUGGGAAGAAAAUGACGGUACCAUAGAAGGAAGCCCCGGCUAACUACGUG
RNAcentral lists this ribosomal RNA (480 nucleotides) under uncultured bacterium. RNAcentral's name for it is "partial 16S ribosomal RNA". It matches the Rfam family "Bacterial small subunit ribosomal RNA", at positions 28 to 507 of the family's 1533-position model. The record is from RNAcentral.